Molecule: ribosomal RNA, 497 nt
Filed under: uncultured bacterium
Lineage: Bacteria
Description: partial 16S ribosomal RNA
Rfam family: Bacterial small subunit ribosomal RNA
Source: RNAcentral
GAUGGACGCUGGCGGCGUGCCUAAUACAUGCAAGUCGAGCGAACAGAUAAGGAGCUUGCUCCUUUGACGUUAGCGGCGGACGGGUGAGUAACACGUGGGUAACCUACCUAUAAGACUGGAAUAACUCCGGGAAACCGGGGCUAAUGCCGGAUAACAUUUAGAACCGCAUGGUUCUAAAGUGAAAGAUGGUUUUGCUAUCACUUAUAGAUGGACCCGCGCCGUAUUAGCUAGUUGGUAAGGUAACGGCUUACCAAGGCAACGAUACGUAGCCGACCUGAGAGGGUGAUAGGCCACACGGGAACUGAGACACGGUCAAGACGCCUACGGGAGGCAGCAGUAGGGAAUCGGCCGCAAUGGGCGAAAGCCUGACGGAGCAACGCCGCGUGAGUGAUGAAGGUCUUCGGAUCGUAAAACUCUGUUAUUAGGGAAGAACAAAUGUGUAAGUAACUGUGCACGUCUUGACGGUACCUAAUCAGAAAGCCACGGCUAACUACGUG